GAUAAUGGUGUGGCUGAAAAUUCAUGAUAGAGAAGAGACCUCCAUCCAACAUUUUUUUCCCGGUUGUCUUUGGAUCCGGGACUAAAGGACCUUUAGUCCCAUGUCAAAAGACGAGCUCUUUAGUUCCGGUUGGUAAUAUUAACCGGGACUAAAGAGACUCCUUUAGUCCCGGUUGUAUUGGAGGGAAUCUAGUGGGACGUUUAGUCCUGGUUAAAAACACCAACCGGGACUAAAGACCCCGCUUUAGUCCCGGUUGGAAUUACCAUCCGGGACUAAAGGGGGUGCCUUUAUUCCGGUUGGUAACACCAACCGGGACUAAAUGCCCAACCAAAACCUUUUCACGCACCCCCCUCCACCUUAUCUUCUCCUCCUCUCCCUUUCUUAUCUCGUGCACGCAGGCAUCGCUCUGCUUCCCU
This 416-nucleotide long non-coding RNA is filed under the name Setaria viridis. RNAcentral describes it as "long non-coding RNA (SVIR_LNC004589)". The record is from RNAcentral. Lineage: Eukaryota; Viridiplantae; Streptophyta; Magnoliopsida; Poales; Poaceae.